This 253-nucleotide ribosomal RNA is filed under the name uncultured bacterium. RNAcentral describes it as "partial 16S ribosomal RNA". It matches the Rfam family "Bacterial small subunit ribosomal RNA", at positions 524 to 776 of the family's 1533-position model. The record is from RNAcentral.
GACGGAGGGUGCUAGCGUUGUUCGGAAUCACUGGGCGUAAAGGGCGCGUAGGCGGCUCUUGGUGUCGGAGGUGAAAGCCCGGGGCUCAACCCCGGAGGUGCAUCCGAAACUCGGAGGCUGGAGGCCGGAAGAGGAGGGUGGAAUACCCAGUGUAGAGGUGAAAUUCGUAGAUAUUGGGCGGAACACAGGUGGCGAAAGCGGCUCUCUGGCCCGGUCCUGACGCUGAGGUGCGAAAGCGUGGGGAGCAAACAGG